GGAGGACGACGAGGAAGUUAGUGACAGGUGGCAAAAAGGGAGGACGACGAACGGACCUCAAGGCAGUGUGGACGUGGAAGCACACGGUAACGGACCUCAAGGCAGUGUGAACGUGGAAGCACACGGUAACGGACCUCAAGACGGUGGACCUGGAAGCGCGCAGGAACAGACUGUAGCAUAGCAUCACAUAUGUUGGCAGCACCGUGGUCCUGGUAGCGGCUCGUACGUGGAAUGAGAAAACAAGUGCUAGCGAGGGGAACAACACCCGCGAACAUGUUGCCAACGGAAAAGCAUGCAGGCCAGUCCAAGAAUGCACCACUCGUCAUGGACACACACUGCGAACCGCGAACAUGUGCGGGCAUGUACGCACAAGAAUAACUACAAGGUAACCGCAACGGGCCACGAAGACGGGAAGCUGUGGAGGCUUGGUCCUGGAUUUGGAAUAUGUACCAUUGCGCCCAGACGCCAAUCGCAAGCCCAUUUUACGGGAGACUGUGCGCACUCCGAUUGGUCUACAAUGUUUCGAAAUCGAAUUUUGUUCGCUCGCAUGUGCGUGCAGCGUCUCGGUCGCUCCAGCGUGGUUUCGAAAUAGCACGGUGCCGUCCUGUGUUCCGUGUUCUGGUGUCGUCGAUUGCGACAGCACAGUUUGUAGAAAUAUACCCGUGGCUUUGUUCGGGCGUGAGGGUGAUUCAAAGCGUGUUGUGCUGUUUCUGGAUUCAACUAUAUUAUCCAACGAACAGCCUAUCAAGUGCGGGACCGGAAUGCUUCAUGAGUUGAAGUGGUCGGAGGGGCAGUAACUCGUUCGGGCGCCGUCGGAUUUCGAGAUCUGACAACAAAUACACUAUUAUGUGCCACACAAGUGCUUUGCGCUUCGCAGCAAUAUUUGACGCACUGCAAGCAGGAAAGAAGAUGUUCCUCAAGAAAUGGUAUACGCACUCAUGAGGCUGCCUCUGUAUUAGGAAUUGAACGGCAUGUUCGUCUUGCUUCAAGUUCGAACUUUGUUACAGUGUGUCAGCAAGGCAAUGCGAUUUGUAUGUGCAAUGCACCCAUAUAUCAUACCUCUAAAUCAGUGCUUUCUUAUUUUGAAUACCAAAUUCCGGCAGCAGGUGCGAAAUCCGGCAGAAGUCGAUGGUAGCCGGGAUCAGCUGAAAGCAGUUCGAUGAGGAAGAGAAGGGGUGAUGUCCUACUGGCACACUUUAAAAACCUGCGCGUUUUCAUCAUAAUAUUUGUCU
Ornithodoros turicata is the source of this 1232-nucleotide long non-coding RNA. RefSeq lists it as uncharacterized. The record is from RefSeq and is a predicted model, not a curated record. The transcript has 3 exons. NCBI's taxonomy places the organism in Eukaryota, Metazoa, Arthropoda, Arachnida, Ixodida, Argasidae.